AUGUCUCUGCCCACGUUAAUCUUCGCGCUCCUCGUCGUGAGCAGCGCCGUCGCCGCUCCCCGUGCGCACGCGGCACGGGAGCUCGCCGGCAACGACGCCAUCGCCGUCGACGCUGCCAUGGUGUCGAGGCACGAGAAGUGGAUGGCGGAGCACGGGCGCACGUACGCGGACGAGGAGGAGAAGGCGCGGCGCCUGGAGGUAUUCCGCGCCAACGCCAAGUUCAUCGACUCGUUUAACGCCGCGGAGGAGAGCAGCCACCGGCUGGCCACCAACAGGUUCGCCGACCUCACCGACGAGGAGUUCCGCGCCGCGAGGACCGGCCUCCGACCGGUGGCUGGCGCGGGGAGCGGCGCCGGCGGGUUCAGGUACGAGAACUUCAGCCUGGCCGACGCGGCUGGGAGCAUGGACUGGAGGGCCAUGGGCGCCGUCACCGGCGUCAAGGACCAAGGCUCUUGCGGCUGUUGCUGGGCGUUCUCGGCGGUGGCGGCGGUGGAAGGGCUGACCAAGAUCCGCACGGGGCGGUUGGUGUCGCUGUCGGAGCAGCAGCUGGUGGACUGCGACGUGAACGGCGACGACGAGGGCUGCGCCGGCGGCCUCAUGGACAACGCCUUCGAGUACAUGGUCCGCCGCGGCGGCCUCACCACGGAGUCGUCCUACCCGUACCGCGGCACGGACGGGUCGUGCCGCCGCUCGGCCUCGGCCGCGUCCAUCCGGGGGUACGAGGACGUGCCGGCCAACAACGAGGCCGCGCUGAUGGCGGCCGUGGCGCACCAGCCCGUGUCCGUGGCCAUCAACGGCGGCGACAGCGUGUUCCGGUUCUACGACAGCGGCGUGCUGGGCGGGUCCGGCUGCGGCACGGAGCUCAACCACGCCAUCACGGCGGUCGGGUACGGCACGGCGAGCGACGGCAGCAAAUACUGGAUCAUGAAGAACUCGUGGGGCGCGUCGUGGGGCGAGCGCGGCUACGUCAGGAUCCGCCGCGGCGUGCGCGGCGAGGGCGUCUGCGGCCUCGCCCAGCUCGCGUCCUACCCUGUCUAG
This 1038-nucleotide ribosomal RNA is filed under the name Triticum aestivum (bread wheat). RNAcentral's name for it is "partial small subunit ribosomal RNA". The record is from RNAcentral. Lineage: Eukaryota; Viridiplantae; Streptophyta; Magnoliopsida; Poales; Poaceae.